Long non-coding RNA from Manis pentadactyla (Chinese pangolin), 616 nucleotides. RefSeq lists it as uncharacterized. Lineage: Eukaryota; Metazoa; Chordata; Mammalia; Pholidota; Manidae. The record is from RefSeq and is a predicted model, not a curated record. The transcript has 3 exons.
GUUGCUCUCCUGGCUGGCCGACAAGAGAAUUCCUCAAAGGGACUUCAGCUGCCUUCAUCACAAAGGGCAUAUGUGAUGUAAAGGGAGGAGGCAGGCCCUAGCUCUUGGACACGCCCUGAAGGACAACCUCCUCCACCGAAACCCUACCCCAGUGGGAGGAAUAAUAAAUUCCAGCGCUCCCCCUCAGGACAGAUUAACACCUGGCCAGACAUUAUUCUGACAGGAGCCUGUGUCUAGAAAAAGGAUUCUGCCACAGCUUUAACACCAUGAUCCCCAAAACAAGAUCAGGAGGUGACCUUUCUCCCUUGCCUACAGAAGAUUACAACACUAAAAACAGUCCAGCCUGUUUAGUAAAAACUGCACUUGGAACACACCAUUUCCUCUGGCAGAGCAUCUGAAUGCUUGUUAAGAGAGACUGAAGAGGGGGAGGGAGAAGUGCACAUCAGCUGAGCAUUUCAGGAGGCAGAAAUCAUGCCUGUUGUCUGCAUCUGACCUCUUCUCUGCUCCUGAGAGACACAGGGCCUAGCAGGGAAAAAGCCAAGGACCACUGCCAAGAACAGAUUCAAAUAGCACCACUCCAAGCUAUGCUGUGUCCACAGUCUGUGAGGGAAGCAGG